UUUUCCUUUGUUUCGCCUUAAAGUAAAAUGGACUCGAGCUGGAUUUCCUGCUAACGGUACCCUGCAAACCACACCCAACCUGAUGACAGGACAGCGGAGUGAAAAAGAGAUGCCAGUCACACACAGCCCUGACAGCGUUUGAACUCCCCAAAAUCUAAUCGUACCAUACAGGAGUGUAGUGAAUGCAUUAAGUGGGCCAGUCACCAAAGGAAGGCUACAAAGAUACCUAACCUCCAGAUAAAGAGAGUAAUCUCUUUUGGGCAUAAAACUACCUCUACUAUGACAGCUUUUGAACAGACGCACGCUGAAGUCUCCUCCACAAAAAUGACACUUGAAGUAAAGGCCGAAUCAGCAGCGUGAUGAUGAUCCAGAAGCGGCGUUAGGCUGCGUGACAGGGAGUAUGCAGAACUACAACACUAAUGACCGCUGGAAACACACAUGCGGACAACAGCCAGGCUCCUGAUAAAGCGUGGGGUCAGGCUUUAUCUAAACCGUGUACACAGCUUCACCAGAACUUUUAUUUGAAUUCAUUUCCAUUGCGCGGGUGU
Oreochromis aureus is the source of this 548-nucleotide long non-coding RNA. RefSeq lists it as uncharacterized. The record is from RefSeq and is a predicted model, not a curated record. NCBI's taxonomy places the organism in Eukaryota, Metazoa, Chordata, Actinopteri, Cichliformes, Cichlidae. The transcript has 5 exons.